This 135-nucleotide small nucleolar RNA is filed under the name Triticum aestivum (bread wheat). RNAcentral's name for it is "Plant small nucleolar RNA U3". It matches the Rfam family "Plant small nucleolar RNA U3". From Rfam's summary of the family: Small nucleolar RNAs (snoRNAs) are involved in the processing and modification of rRNA in the nucleolus. There are two main classes of snoRNAs: the box C/D class, and the box H/ACA class. The record is from Rfam by way of RNAcentral. Lineage: Eukaryota; Viridiplantae; Streptophyta; Magnoliopsida; Poales; Poaceae.
ACGACCUUACUUGAACAGGAUCUGUUCUAUAGGCUCGUACCGCUGCAUCCUUUACCAAUAAGGAGGCAAGCACUUCAGUCUGGUUGAUGAACUCUGACCUCUGUGCAGGGUGGCCUAGAGGUUGUCUGACAGACU